UGAGAUGAAGCACUGUAGCU
RNAcentral lists this non-coding RNA (20 nucleotides) under Callorhinchus milii (elephant shark). RNAcentral also lists the same sequence under 8 other names. The record is from RNAcentral. Lineage: Eukaryota; Metazoa; Chordata; Chondrichthyes; Chimaeriformes; Callorhinchidae.